GUGAGUCUCGUUUCACGAAAGGACAGUCAGCCUUCUCUCUGGUGAUUUUAGGUUGCUGCAAUGAGUGAGUUUGUGCAUGGGCCCUUUAAGACCCGGAUCUUUUUGGCUUUUGGCCAAUAGCUUUUCUGGGGUGUCCUCGCUGCAGUUAAUAGCCAGCAAAGCCAGACAGUAAGACCCCCCUCUCAUUUGGGCUGAGUCCAAAGGAUGGUUAUAGCCAUAUUGACCCCGCUCCGGACCUCGCUCCUCCAGGGAGGGCUGCAUACCUUAGGUUGGCUCCCGCCUGGCCAGCUGAGAAGCUCCGCUGCUCCCAAAACCGGUUUUUGUCCUCUCCUGCCGGAGUUGCUGCCUCUUCUGCUUUCGUCAGGACUGUCCCUUGCCGUGGGGGUUCUUUUUAUCCAGUGUUCAGUUUUCAAUCCAGGAUGAUUCUUCCCAAAAUUGUUGUAACCUGGUUGUGUUCGUGGGAGGAGGCUGUCAGCCUCAGCACCCCCCCCUCCAACCCACCUAUGGCUUCAAGUUGCAUCUGGACAACACGUGAUGCUGGAAUAGAAUUUUACAACCAGACACAAAGAAGAAGAGAAAAGUCAAGCGCUUAGUGAGAAUCAGUUGCAGGAAGUAAAGAGUGGAAUCGAGAGAUAGCUAGGCUGGCCCUGAGCUAACAUCCGUGCCCAUCUUCGUCUGCUUUAUACUUGGGACGCCUACCACAGCAUGGUGUGCGAAGCAGUGUCAUGUCUGCAACUGGGAUCCGAACCGGUGAACCCCGGGCCGCGGAGAAGAAGAACCUGCGAACUUAAUUGCUGCACCACCGGGCCUGCCCCAGGCAUUUCUUUUAAAGAUUAUUUUUGAGAAGCUAAUAGAAUGUCAAAAUGUGGUUAUCAAAGUUGCAUUGUGAUGUUUGUGCUUCUAGUUCAGAGAUGUGUGCCUUAGAUAAAAAACGGACAGUUGUCUACAUAGGGAUGGUAUUUAAAACUUGGGAUAGACCACCAAAAAAGUUAGUUGUUAUGGGUUAAAUAUGUGCAUUCCCCCAAAAUUCACAUGAUAAAAUCCUACCCCCUAAUGUGAUAGUAUUAGGAGGGGUAGCCUUUGGAAGGUUUUUAGGUCACGGGAGCAGGGCCCUUAUAAAUAGGAUUAAUGCUCUUAUAAAAUGGACCCCAGAGAGCUUUCUCCCCUUUUUUCUGCUGUGUGAGGGUACACGGAGAAGUUGGCAGUCUGCACCUGGAAGAGGGCCCUUCC
Molecule: long non-coding RNA, 1230 nt
Filed under: Equus caballus (horse)
Lineage: Eukaryota; Metazoa; Chordata; Mammalia; Perissodactyla; Equidae
Description: lncRNA (ENSECAG00000051236.1)
Source: RNAcentral